Long non-coding RNA from Ricinus communis (castor bean), 2570 nucleotides. RefSeq lists it as uncharacterized. The transcript has 2 exons. NCBI's taxonomy places the organism in Eukaryota, Viridiplantae, Streptophyta, Magnoliopsida, Malpighiales, Euphorbiaceae. The record is from RefSeq and is a predicted model, not a curated record.
GGUUUUAAAUUUGAAUAUCUACACUUGUUUAUUUGUUUAUAUACUUUUUUGUAAAUAUUAAUUGGUCCUCUGUCAAUUCAUUUCUCUUUUUGAAUGUCUGAAAGAUACAUUGACCAUGCAUCAUCAUCUUUAAAAGUGUGAGAACAUAACAUGGAAAUUGGAUUGUUCCUUAGAAAUGACUAUAUCCAAUGAGGGGACCUUAACAUGAUAGAAGCAGCGGAAGCUGAAGCAGUUAUGAGAGUUCUCCUAGUUGGAAAUUUAUAUUAAUUUUUCGAAUCAUGCUUCUUUCUUGUCUGAACUUGGUAGCUUACGCUCAUUAGAUUUUGUAUUGUAUGCCUCUAAUAAUAUGUGUAGUGUCAUCCUUGUGCUAGGGUUUCUUUGCAUUCUCAUUAUAAUGUAGUUGAAAUUCCUUGCUUAGCUUCUGGUCGCUAGGAUUUGUUUUUGGCUAAUCAAGGGAUCAUGAGUUGUUUAAUUAGGAAUAUGGGUGGCACUUCUUUAACCAUGCCAUGGGUCCUGUUGUGUUUAUUAUGUUAAUGAUGGCCCGGGUACCGGGAUAGUCUCAAAGAAGGUGGGCUUCCUUUGCAUACUAUUUGUCUUGGGGGAUUCCAAGGUUAAAUAAAUAACAAGGGAAAGAAGAUGACCAACAAGAUGUUUGGUAUUUGAGGCGAUGGGUGUCUCCAUGAGGGGAAUUUGAAUAUCUCAUACUUAUUUAUUGUGCUGAAUAAUGGGUUAGAUAGGCUGUGUUUUUUGAAAUGCUGAAUGUUUGCUUCAGAGUUGUUCGAGGGGGGGUUACCUUAUGAUGCUUACAUAAGGGCCUUUUCAUGGAUUGAAUUAUUCAGAAGUUAAAUGGACAAAGGGUCAAUUUGCCCCUUGAACUUAUGUCCAAGGGUCAAAUUUAUCCAAUUUAAACUUUUUCAGCAAAUAGCCCCCUGAACUUAAGUCCAAGGAUCAAAUACACCAAUCUAAACUUUUUCAGCAAAUAGUCCCAUGAACUUGUGUCCAAGGGUUAAAUAUAUCCAAUUCAAUUCUUUUUAAAAUUUAGGUUUUAAUUAAAUUAUAAAAAUUAAAAAUAAUAUUUAUUUUAUUUAUUUACUGGUAUAAUAUCUGGUGAUGUGCUAUACAAGAGUGUAUUUGAAAUAUUUUAGAUUUUGGAUUUAAUUUACCCAAAAUGACAAGUAUUAAAUAAGUCAAAUUUCAAUUUUCUAAGGAUUAAAUAUGUCAAAAUUCAAUUUUCUAAGAAUUAAAUACGUUCAAUUUCAACUUUCUUAAUAAAUGGCCCCAUAACUCAUCAUUUUUGGGUCAAUUAAAUUUGAAUUUUAAAUUUUGUCAAACACACUCUUGUGUAGUGCGUUAUUAUAUAGUGUAUUAGCAAAUGAAUGAAAUAAAUAUUAUUUUUAAUUUUUAUAAUUCAAUUAAAACAUAAAAAUCUAAUAUUAUUUUGCUUUUAAAAAAAAAUUAAAUUGUGUGUAUUUGACUCUUGAACACAAGUUCAGGGGGCUAUUUGGUACAAAAGUUUAAAUUGGAUAUAUUUGACCCUUAGACAUAACUUCAAGAGGCUAUUUGCUAAAAAAGUUUAAAUUGGGUCUGUUUGACCAUUGGACAUAAGUUUUGGAGGCAAAUUGACCCUUUGUCCGAAGAUAAAUAGGCCUCCAACAGUUCUUGGUGGGAAUAUUGAUAUGGUUAUUUUUCUGCAAAUCCAGGUGAAGGAAUAUGGUAGAGAGUAUUAUAUGAGAUAAUUGUUCAAGUUUUCAAUUGUUAGUGUAUGUUUCUCCAUUUGAAGGUUAUUGUUGCGUGCUUUUAGUGUUUCGAGAGAAUUCUACCAUAUGAAGGUUUGACUAUUCUUAAAGGUUGGCUGUGGAAAGGACUGCAUCAAUGAUCUUCUUGUUUCCUUGGUAUAUAUGGUCUUCAUUAGAACUGGUGCUUCUCUUGAUAACUUGUGUUGUGGCUUAAGAUGGACAUCUAGUGAACUUGUGAAGGGAUGGUGACAACUUCUGUUGUGGCGAAGGUGGAGAACUGAUGAACUUGUGAAGGGAUGGUGAGAUGGCAGUAGAGUGGGGAUUCUGCUGUUUUUGAAGUUGCUGUCAAAUUGAAGCUGUCCAAGAAGGAGCUUGAAAGCAUCAUUGCUGGCAGAAAUCUUGGGGCCUCCUUAACAGAAAAAUCUGAAAUUACAGUGCAAAUAGCAGUGGAUUGCUUUGGAGAGGCCUAGGAGGGACAAUUUUUUUAAUUGUUCAGCAUUCUAUCUUGCGUUGGUUAGUGAAAAGAUAUGGAGUCGAUCAGGUGAUCUUACAUUCUUAAAGAUGUAAGCCUGUUUCGCUACGGUGGCGAAUUAUCUUAAAGAUGUUACUUCUACUGUAGAUUUUGGACUUAUCAUCUCUCUCUCUCUCUCUCUCUCCACAUAUAUAUAUGUGUGUGUGUGUAUGUUUUUUUUUUGUUUCAUUCCCUUUUUCCAUGUAGUGUUUGUCUAUUAUUCCUCAUCCGCAAUAAUGGAGGAAAUGAUAAAAGCAACAAGAUAUAAUGUUUGUAUUUGCUCCUUUUUCAUUUACAUGAAUAAACCUAGUCCACUUUUUGUA